Podarcis lilfordi (Lilford's wall lizard) is the source of this 2829-nucleotide non-coding RNA. The record is from the annotation of a GenBank genome assembly. NCBI's taxonomy places the organism in Eukaryota, Metazoa, Chordata, Lepidosauria, Squamata, Lacertidae.
AUAAAAACCCCAUCCUCUAGGCUGCUUCCAAACACUUCUCUGCAUUCCUGCUUCUUAGAGAACUAGGUAAGUCCACUUGGGUUCUGAGAAAGCGGGCACAUUUUCUGAAUGUACAAAUUUUCUAGGAUGCACAUUUUCUAGGUUAACAAAGGUUAUGCAGGUGAAUGUCAGUUGUUGCUAAUUUUCAAGGGUAGAUUGCACUGCUAUGUGAGGUUUUCAAGCAAGUGCACUUGAAUUGUGUGUGUGUCUGCAUUAUGCUGGGCUGGAGCACUUUGGUGGGGAAAACUUCUCUGGGGUUUACAGUAAAGGUGAGGAACCUAUGGACUCCAGCACUCCAACAUCACCAACAGGUACAAUAGUCAAGGAUGAUGGGAGCAGCAAUCCAGAAACUUCUGGAGGACUAAAGACUCCUAACCACUGAUUUAUAUUCUUAGAUGAGAUAAUUGAUUGAAGUUUAUCAUUGGGAUAGAUGGUCCAAAUGAACGAUAACUUCCUUUUUGCUGGAACUCACAAGCUUUGCAGUAACAGGAGCAGUAGUGGUAGCAGUUGUUGCCUUCUACAUAGCUCUACCAUGAAGCUGUGAGUCCCACCAAGAGGAAACUACCAGGCCCUUGGACUAUCUAUCCAAAAAUGUGUCAGGUUUCCUGGUGUCAGCCUGAAGUAUUUCCUAUUCUUUCUAUGAUAGGUCCUUUAAACUGAUACCACCACUAUUUAGACCUGGGACCUUCUGCGCUUUCUCAUUUGGUUACAGGAAUUGCUUAUAUAGAGCCAGAAGACUGGCUCAUUUAAAUUGUAGAGUUGGAGGAAGCCAUGUAGAUUUUCAAGACCAACUUUCUGCUCAAUGAGGAAAAUCCAAAUCUUGAUAAUCCAGAAUAUAUUACUGCCCAGUAUAUGCUUGAAGACCUCUAGAGUGGAAGAACCCUUCCACUACCCUUCUGCUUGUACCAGUAAUGGAACCUAGAGUUUUUCCCUCAUUAAAGUUAGAGGGUUUUAUUCAAUGAAGUCCAGCUCAUUAUAUAUCCAUCAAAAUUAAUGAAUCUAACUUGGCCAUGUUUGUUACCUUCAAUGGGCCUACUCUGAGUAAGCCUAGCAUUGUAUUCCCCCCUCUCCCAUAAGGUGGACAGCUAUCUCUUGGGAAAGCUCUUCCUUUAUCCCAGUGUUCUCCAAGGUCUCAGGUUGAUGACUUUUCAAAAUCAGCUGAUAUCCAUUUUAACUAGAGGUGGUUAUGGUAUUCUAACCCACAGGAGGCAAUGAUGGCCACCCAUCUGGAUGGCUUUAAAAUUCAUGGCAGAUAAGGCUGUCAGUGACUUCAAGCCACAAUGGCCAUGUUCUGUUUCAAAUGUCAGGGGCAGUAAUGCUUCUGAAUAUCCGUUGCUGGGAACCACAGAAGGCAAGAGUGGUUUGUGCUCAGUUGCUGAUUGAGGGCUUCCCAUGGGGGCAUCUGGGUGGCCUUUGUGAGAACAGGAUGAUGGACCAGAUGGGACAUUAUCAUGAUACAGCAGACUCUUCUUAUGUUCUUUUGUUCUUUUGUUCUCAUGUUCUUAUUCUGAUGGUCUCACCCAGCAAAACCAAGACUCCCUAAACUCUUCAGCUCCAUGAAUCACUACCCUACGGGGAAAUACCACAGUAUUUGAGACUUUAGCUUACAGAAAAUGAGGUAGUAUACAACCAUUGUAGGCUUUGAUAGCUUUAUCCACAGUUGAUUUGGGGGAAAGGCUAUAGCUCAGUGGGAGAACAUCCGCCAUUCUAGCAGAAGGUCUCUGUUUCAGUCCCUGGCAUCUCUGGGUAGGAGAGACCCCUGUCUGAACUCCUGGAGAGCCACUGGCAGUCAAUGAGCACAAAGCCAAGCUGAACGGAACAUUGGUCUGAUUUGGUAUAGGACAGUUUUGUAUGUGCCUGGAUAUAAACCGCCUGUAAAGCCUGUAAAGUUGGUGAUCAAUCCCUAACAAUAUGCUGUGUGACAGAGAACUUCCUUUUUCUCUGUGCUGAAUCUUCUGCAAUUCAGCUUCAUUGAAUGGCAGCAAUUUUUUAUUUAUUUAUUUUUUUACUAUGGAAGGGGGAGAAUAAAAAAAAUCCCUCUAUUGACUCCAUGGAUAUAUAUAUCCCAUGGUAUGGAACUAGAUGGCCUUUUGGCGUCUUAUUGAGCUCUUUACUAUUGUUAAUAUCAAACUUGUGCUCUCCAUUGGGAACUCUGCAUGAUGCUGACUCCAUGUUCUUUCAGGUCCACCUCUGAACCUCAAAGAUGUCUGCUGGCCGUGGUGGAUGGAAUAACCAAUGCUAUGCCCAGUGCCCCCCAUCAACAGUGACCAUCCGGCCACCACCUUUUGUCCUGACCAUCCCAGGGCCAGCUCUCUGUUGCCCUGACCAGGCUUUUCGCAUCGAGCAGUACAACCCAUGUGCUUACGGAUAUGGCGGCGGCAGAUCUUCUCUGUAUGCCAGUGGUGGUUCCAACAUGUCCUCGUUCUAUACCCAGGCCCUGCCAAGCAACACAUGUAACAGUGGUAACUGCUGGCUUUAAAUCAAGACCAAAGUGAAAGAUCCAAGGAAGAACGAUGGAGAAAACAAGAAGAGCUAGAUCAGCUUCCACAAUUCCCACCUGAAAUGUUGAACAUCCACAACGCAUGGAUUUUUCCUUAUGUCUAUAUCUGUUUUGCCUAUUGCAGUUGUAUUUAAAAUCCUUGUAUACUGCUCUUACUGUCUGCUGACAACUUGAUCUUAGCAACAGGUUGAGAAUUGUGUGCAUCCAAUACUUCGUUUCACAUCGUAUUUGCACUUCUGACUGGGUUAUUCCUAUUUGCUUUCAUAUUAAAAUUUGAAUUGCAUCCAAAA